RNAcentral lists this transfer RNA (134 nucleotides) under Promethearchaeota archaeon. Its description in RNAcentral is "Candidatus Lokiarchaeota archaeon (permafrost metagenome) tRNA-OTHER". It matches the Rfam family "tRNA". From Rfam's summary of the family: Transfer RNA (tRNA) molecules are approximately 80 nucleotides in length. Their secondary structure includes four short double-helical elements and three loops (D, anti-codon, and T loops). Further hydrogen bonds mediate the characteristic L-shaped molecular structure. tRNAs have two regions of fundamental functional importance: the anti-codon, which is responsible for specific mRNA codon recognition, and the 3' end, to which the tRNAs corresponding amino acid is attached (by aminoacyl-tRNA synthetases). tRNAs cope with the degeneracy of the genetic code in two manners: having more than one tRNA (with a specific anti-codon) for a particular amino acid; and 'wobble' base-pairing, i.e. permitting non-standard base-pairing at the 3rd anti-codon position. The record is from RNAcentral. Lineage: Archaea; Promethearchaeati; Promethearchaeota.
GCAGGGAUAGCCAAGCGGUCAACGGCACUGGACAUUUUGAGAGUCAAUAUCUCUUAUCCAGAAUCCGUUGACUUUAAACAUGAUGAGAUAUCCAGUCUCAUAGGAGUUCGUGGGUUCGAAUCCCACUCCCUGCA